ACAGCAACACAGAUGGCAUCCACUUGCACUCAGUGCAUGUCAAAGUCCAGCAAGCCGGCUACUGUGUAGGUAUUGUACUGGGAAUUUAACUCUGUCACUUGUCACAAGUUUCUAUAUGGAAAGAUAAGAGAUGACAGCCUCCUCUUUGAUAAGAGCUUCAUUAUGGAAAGCAGGCAAGUGCCCUGUGAAUUUAUUGCUGUUGAGGACACAAAGGCAAAUGUAUAUAUUUUUUAGUUCAGAGACAAAGGCAUUAUGAUGACUGUCAUCCUGCAUGUUAAGGUCAAUGGGGCGUGAAUGUUUUCAAGGCUGCCAUACACAUUUAGUCGAACAUCUGGAUGUCCCAAUGAAGACACGCAGCUGCUUCUGGACAGAGGUCUGCUUCAAAAAUGGCAAAAUGGUGGUGACCAGAUAAUAGACAGCACCAUCAACCGUUGGUUAUAUUCCUUUACGAUCUUUUGGAGAAUGUAUUGUCUCUGUCAGUUUUUAGUUAGGUGUUUUUAAAAUGCUUUCAGUGUAGGUAGGUCCACAUUUGUCUGUAUUUUAGGCCUUUUACAUUUGUAACUCAGCUACAAAGCCAGAUCACAGAGGUCUCAUUUGUUAAAAUAAACGAGAGACCAGAAAUAAACAUGCAAUCCAAAAGCAA
Electrophorus electricus (electric eel) is the source of this 643-nucleotide non-coding RNA. The record is from RefSeq and is a predicted model, not a curated record. NCBI's taxonomy places the organism in Eukaryota, Metazoa, Chordata, Actinopteri, Gymnotiformes, Gymnotidae.